AAAGCAGCAGCAGCAGCACAGUGUAAACUGCAUUAAACGCGAGGUAAUUAGUGUGCAGAGAGUAGACCGCAAACUGCUAAUUGCGCUGCUCGUGCUCGCCUCCACCUAUCGCAACCUCCAGACUGCUCCCAAUAAUAUCCACCUCCACACACAGCGUGGGGCCCGUGUCCGAACACGGAGCUCCAAAACAGUAAUUGUCAGCCGGGAAGAGAGGGAAGAGACACAAAAACAAGUCUGAUAGUUAGCAUAGCAGCCCAAACGGUUCGGACUGUUCACGAGGCGCUGCACCAGCCGAAGCACAUUUACAUACGCGCUGAUUCACUGCAGGGCAGCCUUGUCCAGGCUUGAUUAGGACGUGCCGGGUCCCGCGCGUUAGGAAUGGAGGCUCAGUUACGGGAUCACGCAGAGGCUCCCUGCGGCUUAGCAGGAGUUGCCGACGCAGACAAAGUCAGAGAAUCUGCGGUCUCUGAGGUCGACAGUAAAAGCUGCAUGUGAGAGUUUGCCCCCAGAAACUGCUGGUGCUGCAGCUUUUCUCUGAAACGUCACCCAUCUACAAUAGAGGGACACCAGGAAGCGGAGCAGACACCCAGGAUGAGACUCAACACAGACUAGAAACAAACGCUGACAGGCGAAUGUGGAAAGCAAACAUGAUUAUUCCCACACAGACUUUAUGAUAAAAAUGACAGCAGCUGUUUUCCAGUAUGCUGGCACUUAAAUAAAACCAGUAAAAGAGGAUUCCUGCUUGGGUUGAUGAUUUAUAUACAACAAAAUCGAAACAGAUUACAAGCUCUUUGGAGGCCGCCCUGGCUGUGCUCCGGGGAUGCUUUUUUUUUUAUUUUUACUUUUUGUUUUGUUUUGAGAAAAAGCCAAAAAUGUUUGGACCAUGUGGCAGAUGAAGAGGCAAAGGCAAACACGCACUUCUGAGCCGGGCGGCUGCGGCUGUCUGACUGAGCCAAACCGCAGCUGAGGAGACCCACUCGAAGAAACGAUCUGAUGCAGUUUGGCAAGAAGGCGAGCGCAACGAGUUCAAAAUGCGCCGGAGACUUUGUUGGGAGAGCAGGAUUUUGAGCAGAGCCACUUCAAGACUCUAAAGAGAAAAUGUCAGCGGUCCUAAAUCUCCAGAGACACAUAGAUGCACCCUCAGCCCCACGUUUCUCUUACAGUAAAUGUCUUCCUGCGCUACAGGCGCUCUGUCUUUUAACAUCAUUAAGAACUCAUUCUACUGUCAUUGCCGCAGUUGAAAACUAUCUGCUAUAAACUAAAGAAGAAGCAAAAUAGGGGGGGCAGAACAAUGGAAAAGUAUCAAAAUGGUGUUGACCUCUGAGCCUCGAAUCAUUGAACCCUACUUUUGAUUGACUAGAAACCGUCCAGAUUGCCCCAAAGUCAGGAACAUGACUCAGAAGUCCUGCAGGCUGCUUCAGGCUCACCGAACCAAUAGUAAGGUGCAGGAGCUGGUCGAGGUCCGUAAGGUUUUAACGUCCCUCAGGUUGGGAGGCUGUGACAUUCUGCAUAUCAUUUUCAGUCGACGUUUAGCUAUGAGUUUGUGGAGAAACCUCGCUGCUUGCCUGAGAUGUCGCCUUGCUAAUAGCGCAGGUUUGAUUGCCAGGAUUCAUCCGAGUCUCUGUUGAGACAUCUGGCAGACGGAAGAGUUCAAACGUUUCAGCGAGAUGUGGCGAACAGGACAGGUUUGGAGCUCUUUCGGAGUUGCGGUGCCUCAGGCCCGGGCGUGGGCGCAGUAAUUUUCCCUACAACUAUCUCCACGUGUGCCAUCGGCUUCAUCUUUUUUCAUCCUCCUUUGCCUGUGGAGUAAUUCUUACAGGCGUCCAGUCACAUUUAUAGUGCCUCUGCCUUGGUACAGUUUUUGCUUUGUUACCGCACUCAAAUGUUCCAGACCUUAAAAGAACAAAGGGCCAGACGAAGAUGGUUUUCUUUCAAAUAAUGACUUCAAUUGUGAAGGAAUAAUAGCUGUCCAUGCCCACAGCUAGUCCUGUGUGAAAAUAGAAUUGCUGUCCUUGUUGUAUCUCAAUUUUUGGCUCAAUUACACGGUCCACACCCAGGCCUGAUUACUUACCAAAACUGUAGAAUUAAGAAACCACUUAAACAGAACCUCACAGUCCUGACUCCAGGUUCUUUAGAAAAUCUUCCUUUUCGCUGAAUGUUUUAUCAAUUAAAGUAUGUUCUACCGUUAGAGCUCCAUCUAUCUCUCCUUAACCUCCUGCAGUGUUAGAGUGACUGCAGAUGUUAUGAUCGGACAGCCGACAAGUGGAGGGGUGUACCAUCAGACCGUCAGUUCCUGAAACCACAUACACAAAAAACUCAGAAAAGCUCACACGGGAGCAGUGCAAUCCCCUCCCCUUGGACCAUAAAUGAAAUAAAAAGUGUGUGGGGCCAAAAGAGCCCAACUCUUCAGACUGCGGGAGGGUUUCAAAGGGCAACUCAAAGCGUGGUUGGUAAGUAAUCAUCAUUGAACCUUAGCUACCUGUUUUAGAAACCUCGUGUUCCAGUUACUGUUUUCAUGACAGAUGUAGGUUUUAUUUAUUUCUGCUGUAUAUCUUAUUUUUAUUCUUGAAAUAGUACUAAUGUCAUUUUCUAACUUGUGCUUGUUUAAUGGCGCUACAGAUGGAAAUUAACAUUUGACUAAAUCCAAUCUUUUUACAACAACGUUGUACAUUCAUUUAUAUGCACUGUCCUGUUCAAAUAAAACCACUUAAAUAGAAUCGGAUUGACACCGUGACAAAGGCUAAAAUACCUCAAAAUGAGGAAAAACGACAGUCACCGACAUAUAUCAGACUGGAAAAGAUAAUAAAGUCAUUUCAAAGACUGUGACUCCAACAAACCACAGUGACAGCCAUUAUCCACAAUUGGAGGAAACGCAUAACAGCUGAGAGCCUUCUCAGGAGGCAACAAAAUGGCUCCAGGAGCACAUGGGUGACUCAACAAGGAGGCCGUAAAGGAAGCCAGAACAACUUCUGAAGCUCUUCUGGCUUCACUUGCCCUAGUUUAAAUCAGUGUUCAUGAUUCAACAAUUGGAAAGAGAGACUGGGCAAACAUGGCAUUGACGGGGAAAGUGACAGGGCAAAACAACACUGAUGACCCAAAAGAACACAAAGGCUUUCCGUCUACCAAAAAUACAUAGACAUGGCGAGACACGGUGGUAGUAGAGUGAUGGCUUGGAGUACA
Molecule: long non-coding RNA, 3180 nt
Organism: Poecilia reticulata (guppy)
Lineage: Eukaryota; Metazoa; Chordata; Actinopteri; Cyprinodontiformes; Poeciliidae
Source: RefSeq, a predicted model, not a curated record